This 253-nucleotide ribosomal RNA is filed under the name uncultured bacterium. RNAcentral describes it as "partial 16S ribosomal RNA". It matches the Rfam family "Bacterial small subunit ribosomal RNA", at positions 524 to 776 of the family's 1533-position model. The record is from RNAcentral.
UACGUAGGGGGCAAGCGUUGUCCGGAUUUAUUGGGCGUAAAGAGCGUGUAAGCGGUUUGGUAGGUCCGCUGUGAAAACUCGAGGCUCAACCUCGAGACGCCGGUGGAAACCAUCAGACUAGAGUCCGGAAGAGGAGAGUGGAAUUCCUGGUGUAGCGGUGAAAUGCGCAGAUAUCAGGAAGAACACCCGUGGCUAAGGCGGCUCUCUAGUACGGUACUGACGCUGAGACGCGAAAGCGUGGGGAGCGAACAGG